Molecule: ribosomal RNA, 423 nt
Filed under: uncultured Clostridium sp.
Lineage: Bacteria; Bacillati; Bacillota; Clostridia; Eubacteriales; Clostridiaceae
Description: bacterial SSU rRNA
Rfam family: Bacterial small subunit ribosomal RNA
Source: RNAcentral
UGGGGGAUAUUGCACAAUGGGCGAAAGCCUGAUGCAGCGACGCCGCGUGAGGGAAGACGGUUUUCGGAUUGUAAACCUCUGUCUUCGGGGACGAAAAUGACGGUACCCGAGGAGGAAGCCACGGCUAACUACGUGCCAGCAGCCGCGGUAAUACGUAGGUGGCAAGCGUUGUCCGGAAUGACUGGGCGUAAAGGGUGUGUAGGCGGUUUUACAAGUUAGAUGUGAAAUACCCAGGGCUUAACUCGGGUGCUGCAUCUAAGACUGUAAGACUUGAGUGUCGGAGAGGUAAAUGGAAUUCCUAGUGUAGCGGUGGAAUGCGUAGAUAUUAGGAGGAACACCAGUGGCGAAGGCGAUUUACUGGACGAUAACUGACGCUGAGGCACGAAAGCGUGGGGAGCAAACAGGAUUAGAUACCCUGGUAGU